UCUAGAACUCUAGAUAUCAGCUGAACACUAAACAGUGUCUGGGCUGCAGGAUAAAUUUUGACUUCUCUGUUGUUGCUACAAUUUGAACUUGAAAACGGUCCUUUUGAAUCUUGGACUCUUCAUGAAAGUUUUAGGCCUAUAUCUUAGCUUUCCAUA
Molecule: non-coding RNA, 156 nt
Organism: Populus trichocarpa (black cottonwood)
Lineage: Eukaryota; Viridiplantae; Streptophyta; Magnoliopsida; Malpighiales; Salicaceae
Source: Rfam